Aegilops tauschii subsp. strangulata is the source of this 2651-nucleotide long non-coding RNA. RefSeq lists it as uncharacterized. The record is from RefSeq and is a predicted model, not a curated record. Lineage: Eukaryota; Viridiplantae; Streptophyta; Magnoliopsida; Poales; Poaceae.
UACUCUACAUCUAUGACAGCGAAAUCCUUGUGAAUAUGGACAGAUGGAGAUGUAUGAACGGGCAGUUCUUACAGUUACUUAUUUAGUGGACAUAUGGUGUAAUUAUUGUCAGUUUGCGAUUUCAACAUACAAUGACCCAGAUGUCAUCAGAACAUAGCAAUUGAAUACCGAGACUAUUCUGAUGAAGUUUUUUUUAAUAUAUUUUUGUAGUGUCUUGACUUUUGUUAACUACCGCAUUUUAGGCUGUAUGUGUAUAGGAAUACAUACAUGGCAAGAAGGGAUUUUACAAUACCUAGGACCUGAACAGGAAUGCUUGAUGAAAUGCUUCAUAAUAUUUUAGCACUGUUUUUGGGCAGUCCUUGUGGUAGGAAAGUUAUCCAUUCUUCGAAAACUCAUCUACUACUACUCACCUUGUAGAAUUUUUUAUUCUGCUGCAUAUUUGGUUUUAUCAUAAAAUGAAUGGAUUAUUGUGAAAUACAGUGUAACCCCUCCCCCCCUCUCAACGAUUAUUAUUUUAGCAUUUAUUUAUUAUUAUUCUUUUGCCUCUUGCUAUUGCUUGCUAAAGGCACAUGCAUACACAAAUCUUUCCUCAUGCCAUUGUUUCUUCUGCAAGCACCUAGCAGUGUAAUUUCAUGAAUCAAAGUAAGAUUCUGCUAUUUGGCCCAAAGAAUUAUCUGAUGAUACCUUUUCCCCUUUCCUUGCUAUAGCUACUGGAUGUUUAUUCUUUUUGAGACAAGAACACAUACUUUUGGCCUACUUAUACUAUCAUGUCGAUUCCUAAUUUAGGAGUGAAUAGGGGCUGUGGACUGCUUUUCUUGCGUUUGCGGUGCGUUUGUUCUUACCCUUUCCAGGUAGAGUAACAUGAAAGAUCAAUAAGUCCUGCUUAAAAGUUUUAUGCACUGUUUGAGCAGUGAUUUUGUUUUUUAUGGUGAGAGUUCCUCGGAUGUUAUUUUUCGCUCAAAUUUUGCAAGAAGCUCAAGCAUUUGAUAAUUAUUUUUGUCUCAAAAUUUCAGAAUUUUUGGAUUUUGUUUUAUCAUGUUUUUUCAGUGUUUUUCGAAAUUCAGUGUACUACACUCGAGAGUUGUCACACCUUUCUAUAUAUCUCAUGGUUUUGUGGCUUAUGCCUUGGAAGGUUUUUGCCAAUGCACAAGUGCAAAGUCCUUUCAUUUUCCUCCUGUAUCCUCAGUUGCGUACUAUAACAUUUGACUAUGUGUCGUGUUGGUCUCAAUGGGCUGGCACAGUACUACAGACUAUGGCUAAAGGCUAUGUUUUCAAACAUAAAAUAAUGAUUCAAAGAAGAGGAGCAGACCGUGCUACGAUAUUUACCUCAAGGUGAUGAAUCAAUGAACCGAGGGACUUAUUAUUCGGUGAGGCCAGCGGGGUAUUCCAUUUCCUGCAUUUCCUCUUCAGUAUGCUGACUCCAAUCUCCAGAGGCCUCGAUGCUUCUUUCUUAGUCCAUUUAAAUGGGGAAUCAUUGAAAAAAUGUCUUCUCAUCAAGGAUUGGAUUGUGUUCUCAUUAUAGAACAUAAUUUAUUAUGUGAGGCAUUUUCCAUUGCAACAUCUUGUCUAGGUAGGUCAUGCAUGGCAGAAUCGCCUCCUCCCGGUCUUCAGCACUCCUGCAGGAAUUGAGCGCCAGUGUGGUCGGGACACAUAGAACACCAACAAGCGAAAAAAACGCACCACUCCUAGGUCAUGCUUGGCAGAAUCGCCUCCUCCCGGUCUUCAGCACUCCUGCAGGAAUUGAGGGCCAGUGUGGUCGGGACACAUAGAACACCAACAAGCGACAAAAACGCACCACUCCAAUAUGCAGCCAGAGUUUGGGCAAUGGUCAAACCAUGGCUUGGUUUACAUGAUGUUCAUCCUACGGACUGGGGAGGCAUGGUUUCCGUCAAGGAGUGGUGGCGCAGCAACACUUAAGGAAGGUCGCAAUCUCGAAGGUCGCUUGUUUCCCUUAUUCAUAUCUCUUGGGAAAUCUGGAAUGAGCGAAAUGCUCGGGUGUUCCGCAACAAUGCGACUCCGGUCCUUGUUCUUGUGACACAUCAAAGCGGAGGCAUCAUCGGGGUGCCUUGCCGGACGAAAUAUUUGUGUAAUAUAUAAUGCCGCGAGAGUGAUUCUUAAAAUCUUCGUCUUAUUCAAUGAAAAUGACAAGCCUUUGGACUUGUUUCAACAUAAUAUGGACCCGAAUGGAGUGAAAUGUUUAAUAUGUGCAUACCAUUUCUGGAUUGAGAGAUCUAUUUACUGAUGGCUGGUUUUUAAAGAUGUCUUAUAAAGUUGUGAAAUUCUCCCAGAAAAGGCUUCUGAGUGGAAUUAAUGAGUACGGUGCUUGUGAAGUUUCCUCCAUAGCUCUUUUGCAAUCAAUCAUUCGUCUGUUAUUAUGGUUGUUCCAUUGUAUGCAUGCACAUUGGAAGGCAGAAAGUAAUGUUGGCUGGUCGCCAGAGAAGUAAAAAGGCCAACAUCUUGAGCUGUAUGGAGCAUGGUUGUUUUCUUGAAGUUUCUGAUGGAUUGUAUACCAUUGACUGAUAGGAAUCGUUCAUUCAUGAGAAUGGGACAAGAGCAUUGCUAGAUGGAAUUCGGCUGAGUGUAAGUACACAUGAGAGGUGUGUUUUCAUUGAUAGAGGAAGGGUGAGAGCAUGACACUUGUACAGGAAAAA